GAUGAACGCUGGCGGCGUGCUUAACACAUGCAAGUCGAACGGAAAGGCCAGUGCUUGCACUGGUACUCGAGUGGCGAACGGGUGAGUAACACGUGGGUGAUCUGCCCUGCACUUCGGGAUAAGCCUGGGAAACUGGGUCUAAUACCGGAUAGGACAAUGGUUUGGAUGCCGUUGUGGAAAGUUUUUUCGGUGUGGGAUGAGCUCGCGGCCUAUCAGCUUGUUGGUGGGGUAAUGGCCUACCAAGGCGUCGACGGGUAGCCGGCCUGAGAGGGUGUACGGCCACAUUGGGACUGAGAUACGGCCCAGACUCCUACGGGAGGCAGCAGUGGGGAAUAUUGCACAAUGGGCGCAAGCCUGAUGCAGCGACGCCGCGUGGGGGAUGACGGCCUUCGGGUUGUAAACUCCUUUCGCUAGGGACGAAGCGUAUUUGUGACGGUACCUGGAGAAGAGGCACCGGCUAACUACGUG
Molecule: ribosomal RNA, 468 nt
Filed under: uncultured bacterium
Lineage: Bacteria
Description: partial 16S ribosomal RNA
Rfam family: Bacterial small subunit ribosomal RNA
Source: RNAcentral